Molecule: long non-coding RNA, 948 nt
Filed under: Zea mays
Lineage: Eukaryota; Viridiplantae; Streptophyta; Magnoliopsida; Poales; Poaceae
Description: long non-coding RNA (ZMAY_LNC005765)
Source: RNAcentral
AGCCUAUGGUCGAUGAUCAAUGGCCACACAACCCCCAUUUUGUCGAAAAUAGCCAUGAAUGACCAUUUACAAUAAUACCGAAGGCUAACACCUACGGAUUUUUGACCAAGAAAUGGUCUCCACCAGAAAUCCAAGAAUGUGAUCUAUGGCAAGGAAACAUAUGUGGGGUGAUGUGUAUGAGCCUCUGGUCGAUGAUCAAUGGCCACACAACCCCCAUUUUUGUCGAAAAUAGCCAUGAACGACCAUUUUCAAUAAUAUCGAAGGCUAACACCUACGGAUUUUUGACCAAGAAAUGGUCUCCACCAGAAAUCCAAGAAUGUGAUCUAUGACAAGGAAACAUUUGUGGGGUGAGGUGUAUGAGCCUCUGGUCGACGAUCAAUGGCCACACAACCCCCAUUUUGCCGAAAAUAGCCAUGAAUGACCAUUUUCAAUAAUACCGAAGGCUAACACGUACGAGUUUUUAACCAAGAAAUGGCUUCCACCAGAAAUCCAAGAAUGUAAUCUAUGGCAAGGAAACAUAUGUGGGGUGAGGUUUAUGAGCCUCUAGUCGAUGAUAAAUGGCCACACAACCCCCAUUUUUUAUGAAAAUAGCCAUGAGCGACCUUGAAAAUAGCCAUGAGCGACCAUUUUCAAUAAUACUAGAGGCUAACACCUACGGAUUUUAGACCAAGAAAUGGUCUCCACCAGAAAUCCAAGAAUGUGAUCUACGACAAGGAAACAUAUGUGGGGUGAGGUGUAUGAGCCUCUGGUCGACGAUCAAUGGCCACACAACCCCCAUUUUGCCGAAAAUAGCCAUGAAUGACCAUUUUCAAUAAUACCGAAGGCUAACACGUACGAGUUUUUAACCAAGAAAUGGCUUCCACCAGAAAUCCAAGAAUGUAAUCUAUGGCAAGGAAACAUAUGUGGGGUGAGGUUUAUGAGCCUCUAGUCGAUGAUAAAUGGCCACAC